CUAAGAACUGUACUCGACCCAGGU
This 24-nucleotide non-coding RNA is filed under the name Arabidopsis thaliana (thale cress). The record is from RNAcentral. Lineage: Eukaryota; Viridiplantae; Streptophyta; Magnoliopsida; Brassicales; Brassicaceae.